Eucalyptus grandis is the source of this 1393-nucleotide RNA transcript. RefSeq lists it as uncharacterized. Lineage: Eukaryota; Viridiplantae; Streptophyta; Magnoliopsida; Myrtales; Myrtaceae. The transcript has 5 exons. The record is from RefSeq and is a predicted model, not a curated record.
CUCUCUCUCUCUCUCUCUCUCUCUUUCUCUCUCACACACACACACACACACACACACUUGAAGACUGCAUUUUUACACAAUCACGAGUAGGAUAACCGGUCUGACUUUGACAUUCGUGCUCUUUUUCCAACUGAGGAGUUAAGGCGUUGAACUUAAAAUGAUGUGGCUAUACUUUUUUUUUUUUUUAACAAAAAAAUGUGCUACAAGCAGUCUGGAGAUGACUUGAAACUCUCCCCCUUUCCUUUACUAAAUGCAUUUACAUGUCUGUUAAUUAUCCGAACCUAGAUUGCCAGUCCUUUUGCAUAAAGGUCCUUUGAACUAACUCCUGUGCAUGCACAUAAUUAACUGUGGCAUUGCUUUCGUGUGCUUAACGAUCAAGUUUAGGAUAUUCCACAAUUUAUGUUGAGAAAGAACUUAUUUUUAAUAGUAGUUUCUCAUUGCUGAUGUCUACAAGUAUCUAAGGUCUGGAUUUACUUCUUGAUCAGCCAUAGAAGUAAGAUUGCACAGUAUUGUUUUGAGUGUAAUUGUUCACCGAGAACCCAUCUUUGCAUCAUAUGGAUACAUAGUAUGUUUGCUCAUUAUAUGCAUUUCAUCCUCGAGUAUUAUCUUAUACUUUGUCACAUAUGCAACUAAAGGAAAGGUAUGGGCAUGUUGCAAUGCUUUUUGUUUGCUAUGCUAAUAAAUUGUUGUUUCUUCUCUCUAAUUCAGCGUUUCACUGUCACCAUCCGCGUUUCUAUUUUUCCAUGUAGAGAUCCAUUCGAGGAAAAGAGUGUCGAGAAUUUCCUUGAGGAACAGGGAGUGGAGGAAAGCAAGAAGAUCAAGAUCUUAAAGAUAGUAAGGGGAAUGGGUUUCAAAAAUGAGAUUAAGGGGCUUGCAGAAACUGAAGUAUUUCCAGAAUUUGGGGUCGUGCAGGAUGCUGAUCGUCUUGAUGCCAUUGGGGCCAUAGGAAUAGCUCGUUGCUUCGCUUUUGGGGGAAGCAGAAACAGAGUUCUCCACGAUCCUGCCAUCCAGCCACGAUUUGUUCUUUCCCAGGAAAACUACAUGAAAAAGAGGAGCAGACUACCUUGAAUCAUUUUUAUGAGAAACUUCUGAAGCUGAAAGAUUUUAUGAAAACAAAGGCUGGACAAAGGAGAGCCGAGAAGGGGCACAAGUUCAUGCUCGAGUAUCUGGAAGAGUUCUACAAAGAGUGGGAUGGGCAAGCCUAGAUUGGGUGAUACUGAAGAGGUACUAUCACCAUCACCAUUUCCAAUGGUUUAGCCCUUACGGAUUACAAUACUGAAAUUUAUCUGAAGUAGAGAUCCAUGGUUGAAUCCAGUUUUAGCAAGUCAGUUGCUAAUGCAUUGUAAUCAUAAACAUUUAUCACCUACUAGCUUAUUUAAUUCUCUUACUAGUA